RNAcentral lists this ribosomal RNA (728 nucleotides) under Enterococcus hermanniensis. Its description in RNAcentral is "bacterial SSU rRNA". It matches the Rfam family "Bacterial small subunit ribosomal RNA", at positions 23 to 732 of the family's 1533-position model. Lineage: Bacteria; Bacillati; Bacillota; Bacilli; Lactobacillales; Enterococcaceae. The record is from RNAcentral.
CGCAGUUCGCUGGCGGCGUGCCUUUUUCAUGCCGGUCCUGCGUUUUUUCUUUUGGGCUUCUUUUUUCUGCUGCUCUGCCGAGUGGUGUUCUUCUUCGUCUGACUUAUUGCCGGGUUGUAGCUGCUCUUCACUGCACUCCACAUUCUCUUUCGUGAGUUGCCUUCACUAAAUAGAUUGUGACCUUCGGGCCUCAGCAUUUUUUACAUCCCCGGUGAGCUCCUCCCUAGUUGGUUUAGUUAUGUGGUGAGGUAACGGCUCACCCUAGCUGCUCUGCAAAGAUGACCUGAGAGGGUGAUACUGAGACCUGGGAAUGAGACUACGCCCAGGCUCCUACGGGGAAUAUUGCAAGGUGAAUCUUCGGCCUGAUGCCAACAUGCGACCGAGCAGCGCCGCGUGAGUGAAUUAUGUUAUCUUUCGUGAACUCUGUUGGUAUAGAAUUACAAGGAUGAUUCUAUGAUGUUCAUCCCUUGACGGUAUCUAACUAACUAGCUACCGCUAACUACGUGCCUACAGACGCGGUAAUAGUUAAGUGGCAUUCGUGGUCCAGAUUUAUUGGGGCGUAAAGCUAGCGCAUCCGUUUUCUUAAGUCUGAUGUCAAAGCCCCGGCUCAUCUGAGGAUGGUCAUUGGAACUGUGAGACUUGAGUGAAAAUAGGAGAGUGGAAUUCCAUGUGUAGCGGUGAAAUGCGAAGAUAUAUGGAGGAACACCAGUGCGAACGCGGCUCUCUGU